UUGCGGUAGGGCUUUCUUGCGAUGUGUUUUGGCUAAGAAAUCUGCCACUUGAUUUGAUUCGCGUGGGUUGUAGACAAGCUCUACAGCUUUUAACCGAGAUAGCUUUUGUUUGCAUUCUUCAAGGAUGGCCUGAAUCUCCCACGGGCCCGGAGUCUGGCCCAUUAUGAUGUCCACCAAAGAUAAGCUGUCAGAACUCACCACCACGUGCAGAUCAACACUUCUCUGCAGAUCAGUUCUGCUUUUCCACAGAUCAGUUUCAUCUUCUAAGUACAAUAGAGCCACAUGCAAAGCUAGGGUUUCGACUUCCAUCACCGAGGAGGCUACCACACUUUUAGCAAAACCACCCACAACUCUCCCAGUAGAAUCUCGGCAGAUCCCGGCAACGGCACCCACCCUCUCGCCUUCGACGAUUGACCCGUCGAUGUUUAGUUUUAAUCCGCCGGUCGCUGGAGGAGUCCACGAAACAGGCACAUGCUUCGUCAACUAUCAAGCUUGGAUCUGGACUUCGAUUCUGAAAGAUGACUCUGUUUCGAGCCAACCAAAUUUUCCACAAUACCCCGGCGACCAGCUCAGGUGACGUCGCAAAGUAAGAAGAGAUGCUCCACU
Long non-coding RNA from Syzygium oleosum, 606 nucleotides. RefSeq lists it as uncharacterized. The transcript is spliced from 3 exons. The record is from RefSeq and is a predicted model, not a curated record. Lineage: Eukaryota; Viridiplantae; Streptophyta; Magnoliopsida; Myrtales; Myrtaceae.